GACGAACGCUGGCGGCGUGCUUAACACAUGCAAGUCGAACGGAAAGGCCCUACUUGCUUGGUACUCGAGUGGCGAACUGGUGAGUAACACGUGGGUGCUCUGCCCUGCACUUUUUGAUAAGCCUUGGCAACUGGAUCUAUUACCUGAUAGGAGCUAUUUUUUAUGUGUUGGUUGGAAAGUUUUUUCGGUGUUGGAUGAGCUCGCGGCCUAUUAGCUUGUUGGUGGGGUAAUGGCCUACCAACGCGGCAACGGGUCGCCGGACAGAUGGGGUGGACGGCCACACUGGGACCGAGAGACGGCACAGAUGGCUAAGGGAGGAAGAAGUGGGGAAUAUUGAACAAGGGGCGCAAGCCUGAUGCAGCGAGGCCGCGGGGGGGAAGACGGCCUUGGGGUUGAAAAAUAGUUGCGCUAGGGAAGAAGCUUUUUGUGACGGUACCUAGAGAAGAAGCACCGGCUAACUACGUG
RNAcentral lists this ribosomal RNA (465 nucleotides) under uncultured bacterium. RNAcentral's name for it is "partial 16S ribosomal RNA". It matches the Rfam family "Bacterial small subunit ribosomal RNA", at positions 28 to 507 of the family's 1533-position model. The record is from RNAcentral.